UACGUAGGGUCCGAGCGUUAAUCGGAAUUACUGGGCGUAAAGCGCGCGUAGGCGGGUUGGUAAGUCCGCUGUGAAAGCCCGGAGCUCAACUCCGGAGGGUCGGUGGAUACUGCCAGUCUUGAAGGUGCUAGGGGGAGAUGGAAUUACCGGUGUAGCGGUGAAAUGCGUAGAUAUCGGUAGGAACACCAGUGGCGAAGGCGGUCUCCUGGGGCAUUCUUGACGCUGAGGCGCGAAAGCUGGGGGAGCGAACGGG
This 253-nucleotide ribosomal RNA is filed under the name uncultured bacterium. RNAcentral's name for it is "partial 16S ribosomal RNA". It matches the Rfam family "Bacterial small subunit ribosomal RNA", at positions 524 to 776 of the family's 1533-position model. The record is from RNAcentral.